GAUGAACGCUGGCGGCGUGCUUAACACAUGCAAGUCGAACGGUGAAGGCGGAGCUUGCUCUGCUGGAUCAGUGGCGAACGGGUGAGUAACACGUGAGCAAUCUGCCCCUGACUCUGGGAUAAGCGCUGGAAACGGCGUCUAAUACUGGAUACGAGCUGCGAAGGCAUCUUCAGCAGCUGGAAAGAAUUUCGGUUAGGGAUGAGCUCGCGGCCUAUCAGCUUGUUGGUGAGGUAAUGGCUCACCAAGGCGUCGACGGGUAGCCGGCCUGAGAGGGUGACCGGCCACACUGGGACUGAGACACGGCCCAGACUCCUACGGGAGGCAGCAGUGGGGAAUAUUGCACAAUGGGCGAAAGCCUGAUGCAGCAACGCCGCGUGAGGGACGACGGCCUUCGGGUUGUAAACCUCUUUUAGCAGGGAAGAAGCGAAAGUGACGGUACCUGCAGAAAAAGCACCGGCUAACUACGUG
This 468-nucleotide ribosomal RNA is filed under the name uncultured bacterium. Its description in RNAcentral is "partial 16S ribosomal RNA". It matches the Rfam family "Bacterial small subunit ribosomal RNA", at positions 28 to 507 of the family's 1533-position model. The record is from RNAcentral.